UUAUGGCUCAGGAUGAACGCUAGCGACAGGCUUAACACAUGCAAGUCGAGGGGCAGCAUAAAAGUAGCAAUACUUGGUGGCGACCGGCGCACGGGUGAGUAACGCGUAUGCAACCUACCUAUCAGAGGGGAAUAACCCGGCGAAAGUCGGACUAAUACCGCAUAAAACAGGGACACCGCAUGGUGAUAUUUGUUAAAGAAAUUCGCUGAUAGAUGGGCAUGCGUUCCAUUAGGUAGUUGGUGAGGUAACGGCUCACCAAGCCGACGAUGGAUAGGGGAACUGAGAGGUUGGUCCCCCACACUGGUACUGAGACACGGACCAGACUCCUACGGGAGGCAGCAGUGAGGAAUAUUGGUCAAUGGGCGAGAGCCUGAACCAGCCAAGUCGCGUGAAGGAAGAAGGAUCUAUGGUUCGUAAACUUCUUUUGCAGGGGAAUAAAGUGCAGGACGUGUCCUGUUUUGUAUGUACCCUGAGAAUAAGGAUCGGCUAACUCCGUGCCAGCCGCUGC
This 508-nucleotide ribosomal RNA is filed under the name uncultured bacterium. Its description in RNAcentral is "bacterial SSU rRNA". It matches the Rfam family "Bacterial small subunit ribosomal RNA", at positions 17 to 518 of the family's 1533-position model. The record is from RNAcentral.